This 341-nucleotide unclassified non-coding RNA is filed under the name soil metagenome. RNAcentral's name for it is "partial contains 5.8S ribosomal RNA, internal transcribed spacer 2, and large subunit ribosomal RNA". The stretch from base 1 to 120 matches the Rfam family "5.8S ribosomal RNA", at positions 35 to 154 of the family's 154-position model. The record is from RNAcentral.
GAUGAAGAACGCAGCGAAAUGCGAUAAGUAGUGUGAAUUGCAGAAUUCAGUGAAUCAUCGAAUCUUUGAACGCACAUUGCGCCCUUUGGUAUUCCAAAGGGCAUGCCUGUUCGAGCGUCAUUUGUACCCUCAAGCUUUGCUUGGUGUUGGGCGUCUUGUCUCUAGCUUUGCUGGAGACUCGCCUUAAAGUAAUUGGCAGCCGGCCUACUGGUUUCGGAGCGCAGCACAAGUCGCACUCUCUAUCAGCAAAGGUCUAGCAUCCAUUAAGCCUUUUUUUCAACUUUUGACCUCGGAUCAGGUAGGGAUACCCGCUGAACUUAAGCAUAUCAAUAAGUGGAGGA